GGUCACAGGUCCCCUUAGCUGCAAGCAGGCCUGGAGCCUGAUGUGCCGGCCCGCCAGGACUCACAGCCCCUACGUGCCCUGCGCGCUGCAGCCGCGUCUCUUGUACAAGAUUCUGGAGGGCUGGAGCCUGACCCUUCUGCCUCCCCAGCGGCGCCUGGCACUGUGAGAGCGUGCAUGUGCACAGGAAUGUUCUUCAAUUCUACAAUGAAAUAUGCCUUUUCCCAUUUACCUGGAAGCACACAACCCUAGACCUCUCUUUUCUUGUCAUCUUUUUUCAAAGACACAAGUAAAGAAAAAAACAGCAUGGGCAAGGUGAAGGAGCAAGACUAAAAGCCACACUUGGACUUGGGAUUAGGCUGCCUUGAACAUACUGGCCCUGUGGCUCCUGCUGACCUGUGGAGAGAGGUCCAUCCUAUGGACCAUCAUCUAUCUGGACUGGGUACAGAUGAUGGGUUCUGUCAACUUCUUUGUACCACCAUGCUAUAAGGAAGUCCAAGCCACCCUGUGGAGAGGCAUAUGUGGAGAGAAGCAACAUACAGCAGCAAUUUGAAAGCCAUGUGAGUGAGUCAUCUUGGAAGUGAAUCUUCUAGCCCCAGCUGACGCCACAUG
Molecule: long non-coding RNA, 609 nt
Organism: Nyctereutes procyonoides (raccoon dog)
Lineage: Eukaryota; Metazoa; Chordata; Mammalia; Carnivora; Canidae
Exons: 4
Source: RefSeq, a predicted model, not a curated record